This is an RNA transcript of Octodon degus (degu), 4952 nucleotides long. It is a transcript of the gene named SPEM family member 2, with no coding region annotated. Lineage: Eukaryota; Metazoa; Chordata; Mammalia; Rodentia; Octodontidae. The transcript is spliced from 5 exons. The record is from RefSeq and is a predicted model, not a curated record.
UUGCGGGGGGGGCCCAGGCAGGCCUAGGACCCCCCCCCCAUGGAGAGCCAGUUCUGGCAUGACAUCUUGGGGUGCUGCAAUCAAUACCAAGAAAGCCCUCCGGAUGCUGAGGACAUCUUAUUAUUGGUGCUGGGCCUCAUCGUUCUUGUCAACAUUAGCAUCAACAUGGCAACCAUGAUGUGGAAUGGGCUCCAGAAUGUCUUAGACAAGAUGAUCUGUUGGAUUAACCAGAAAGAUGAAGCCCAGGCUAGUGAAAGCUCUCCCAAAGAUCCUCCAGCCAAGGCCCAGGAUAUCCACGUUCACUGCACCCUGGAUCCUUUACGAGUGAAGAUGGCCCGCCCCACACACUACUACUCUUCCUCCUGCCACUGUCUUCUCAACUGCCACAAUAGCCGUCGCUGCCACCGCCGUUAUUACCAGCCAAGGCCAAAGAACCACAAACAAUUCCCCAAGGGUUGCCAAAUCUUUCAUACCCAGCCUUAUGGCUACAAGAUAUCACAGCCACCACCAGUGCCCUUUUUUGACCUAGAAGACCAGGACUCCUACCUUGAAGAGUUAGAAGACCUGUCUUUCCCAGUUCUCAAAUACCCACAUCAUAGGGGCAAGGGUGGUCUCUAUCAGCGAAUGGCUGUGCCUUCCAUUGUGGGGCUAUGGGGCCGCCAGGGUGGAAUUUUGGCCAGCUUGCCACCACCUUCUCUCUACUUGUCACCUGAGCUGCACCGCUUACCCAAGCGUGUAGAGGCCAAGUCAGAGUUGAGGCUGCAGUCCUAUGGGGCCCAAGGCUCACAAUCCAGAACUUGUGGCAAUGUGGAGGCCAAGCAAUGCACCCCCUCUCCACUACCUACCCGUCGGCUGCCCCCUAACUCCUCCUGGAUCCCUGGGAAGCAGAGCCCUUAUUUGUCAAAAGGCCAUACACUGUGUGACACCUGGGAUCAGCGGCAGCAUGGUGUUGAGAGCUCUGAGCCCCCACCUUCCUUGAUGCCCCAAAACCCGUGGCCAAAGGCCCAGGCCUACCAGGAGCACUGCUCUACACAGUCCCAGGGACGAAGCCUCCUUGGCCAUGCUCACACCCAGCCCAACCACAGCCCACAUCCAUCUAUGGGACACUUAGGUUUUAGCUCUCGGGAUGCCCAUGAGAUACGGAGCCGGGCAGCUGACUGGGCUGAGGCUUUGCCUGCUCGGCAUGCUCUCACCACCUCUACAUCCCUCACUGUGUUGGGGGAAGCCUCGUACCAGCGAGCCCCAGCUGUCAGUUCAGCCUUGCUUCCUCCUCCCUCCCAGCUCCUGCCUGAAGUUGGCCAGGCUGUUGAUCCUAUCCCACCCUCAACCAAUUUUGUCCCACUCAGACGGAAUCCAGGGGGUAAUGCCAGCUCCCAGGUGUAUGACAGCGUGGAGCUGAAGCGACAGGUACAGGAGAGCAGAAUGCGGGCCAACUCAUUGCCACCACCUGCCACCUCAACCUCCAGACCUUCUCUACACAGGAACCGGACUGGGAAAUUUAACUGAUAGCAGCUCUGGAGGCAUCUGAAGGGCUCCUUGAGGAUUCUUAUCCAUCACCUUCUGUCCAGAGACAAAGAGUCCAGUGUCCUAGGCAGCAGGCCUAUGUGCAUGCACUGUACUGCAGAUCCCAAGAACCUGUACUCAAGAGUCUCUUCCCGCUUCCAUCAUCACCCCAGCUUCCUGCUCAGGCAUGCUAACCACCACAACUCCUGGAUACCAGAUAUAUUUGAUGAAAAGGCUUCUAGGUGCUGCGGGAUGCCACCUCAGUAUAGACAAGCUAGGGCUCCCUCAGAGGAUCCAGGGAGACUGGGGAAGGAGGGAGCCAGGGAAGUCCCACAAGUCACAGCCUUGAAGGGCCAGGCCUCCUUACUCUCCAAGAUAAAGCAUUCGACCCAGUUCCGGAAGAUGCACAAGUUGGACAUGGUUCCACAUUCUUUACCCCGAGAGAGCAACAUCAAGGCCCCAGACCAUGAGCCUACUCAUCCUCCUCCCAAAGCCAAGACCCACUCCUCAACUCAUACCUCAACAGCCUGUGUUCCACCCCCCAUCCCUUCCCCUACCCCAACCCAUGUCUUACCCCCUGCUCCACCCCCUAGCCCUAUCAAUUCUCCAGCCCCUAUCUCAGCCCCUACCCUGGUUCACAGCCAAGGCCACACACCAGCCCUUGAUCCUACUUCUGCUUCUGCCCAUGCCCCAGCUCCUAUCCCAACCUGUGUCUCAGGCCCUAAUCCAGCCCAAGCCCCAGCCCACACCUCUGAGCCAUCCCAGUCCCACAGUUCUGAGAACAUAUCCUCCCAUACCCCAGCCCAACCCCCAGCCCAGAUCCCUGGCUAUACCUCAGCCCACUCCAAGGGCCAUGACCCAGCUCAUACUUCAAACCAGGCCCAGACCCACACCCAGGGCCACAUCCCUGAGCACACAUCAGCCCAAGCUUCAAUACGUACUCUAGCCAGUCCUCAUCUAACCCAUUCCUGUGCCCACACUUCAGUUUCUGCCCCACCUUCUACCCCAGCCCCUCCCUCAACUUUUGCUCCAGCCACUCCUGCCAUAUCCCCUAUUCAAGCCCCUGUCCCAGCAUGUCCCUUGACUUCCACUCCAAAAGGGGCUGUCCCUGCCACCACUCCUAUCUUAACUCCUAUUCCUUCUACUCUGGUUGCCUUUGGCCCUAGCCAAGUAGUCUAUGAUGCUCACAGGGUAAGACAGAACAUCUUGCAUAAGUGCAAUGUCCAGAACUCUGCAUAUCCCAGAAAGGACUUGGGUACCCUCUCUGGGCCCCAAGAGAGGCAGGGCCUGGCAAGUUCUGGUACAUCUGAGCAGACAUCAAAGCAAAAUAUUGGGGACAGUGCUGAGCCUCCUGUAGGAUCUAUACUGGGCUACUUAGAGAUGGGGAAUAUGGAAUGGAAAAUUUCAGAUGAUGCCAAAGACAAGUGCUCUCAGACUAAGACCUUCCCUUACUAUAGCUUCCAUCCUUGCAGUUCUGAAAGAAAAAACACAAAUUCUAAGGGUCUAGUGUACCCUAAAUUCCUGAUCUAUACCCAAGAUGCUGCUGCUCCUAAACCUUGCUUUCACUCUCCAACCACUGCCCAGAGCUCACUGCCCACACUUAAUCCACCAUGCACUCUUUCUCUGCCACUUAUUUCUCCCAAAUCCUUUGUCCUAACUCAGUCCGCCAACCCCCAGAAACCCUCCACCUCAGCACAGAUCCCCACCUUUGUUCCAACCUCCAAGACUCCUCAAUCUGUUUCCUCUUCCCAUUUUCCUAUGCCUCCCCAGUUCCCCAUCAUUUCUCAAUCCUUGAUUCAACCCCAACACCCUGAACGUCAUGAUAAUCAAUGUCCUGCCGGAGACUCUGGCCUCCAAAAGACUCCAUGCCUUUCAAAUGACUCCGGAGUUCCAGGGAACCCAAGCCUUAUCCAACAUCCAGGCCUCAACAAGAACAUAACCCUUAGACAAGAUUCAGACCUCCACACAGAUCCACAUCUUGCUCAAAAUCCAGGCUUCCACAAGUUCCCAGACCUUAUUCAAGAUCCCAAUGACUGCAAAAACCUCAGCCCUUCCCAAGAUACUGGUCUUCACAAGAAUCCAAGCACUACUCAAGAUUCUGGCUUCCAAAAGAGUCCAGGUCCUAUUCAAGAUACUGGUGUCUCUAAGAUCCCAUGUCCUACCCAACCCUCUGGAUUCCAGAAGAACAUACCAUGUAUUCCAACUUCCAAUCUUCAGAGAAGUUCAGGCUUUAUACAAGACUCUGGAGUCAGUGGGAAUGUUGAACUAAACCAAGACACUGUUAUCAACAAAAGUCAAGACCUCCCCCAAGUAACUGAUCUCCAAAAGAGGCCAAGCCCUUGUAAAGAUUCUGGAAGUAACAAGAGUAUAUGCAAUAUCAAAGAUUCAGGAGCCCAUGGGAACAUAGGCCUCAUGCAAGAUUCUAGAACACAGAAUAAUCCACCAUGCCUUGCCCAAGACACUGAAGUCAACAAAUGUUCAGGACUUACCCAGGGAUCUGGAACCCCCAGGAACGCAGAUCUUGUCCAAACCUCUGGCCUCCAGAAAGUCUCAGGUCUCACCCAAGAUGCAGGAGACUAUAAGAAUAUAGGCCAUACCCAGGAUUCUGGAGUCAACAGAAUCCCAGGUUUUACCCAAAAUUCUGAUUGCUAUAAGAGUACAGCCCUUCCCCAAGCUACUGAAGUUGAGAAAAUAUCCAAUCUAACCCAAAAUGUUGGAGUUUACAGGAGCACAGAACAUGGCCAAGAUUCUAACCUUCAUAAGUGCCCAGAAAUUAAUCAAGAUCCUGGCCCUCAAAAGGACCCAGAAGUUGGCCAAAACUCUAGCCUCCCCAAGAUUCCAGGACUUCCCCAGAAAUCUGGUCUUUGCAAAGAUGCAUGCUCUAUUCCAGACCCUGGACUCCAUGAGAAUUCAAACUUUGCUGUAUGUACUGACUCUGUCCAAGUCUUGGAUCAGCAUCCUAACCCACAGCCAACACCAUGCCUGAUGAAGUCAUUUAAAUGUGAGACAGCUCCCCAGAAAGAGAGUGUUGAGCAUCAUGUAUCCUGGGCUUCUGACCAAAUCUACCAAAACUCCUGCCCUGCCAAGGCCCAUAUGAUCUCCACAGAUCUGCAAACCUUCUCAGAGGUUCCUGUACUAAUUGAGCUGCAGCCUUCUUUCCGACAGGCAAGCAGCCAAGACUGGGUAUACCACCCUGUGGAUAUAGUUCCACCGUCCUGCCAGAACUAUCGUCAGAUGUCUGUGCCUCCCAAAGUCAACUGGAGGCCCCACUGCCCUGGACCAGGAACCCGGACAGGGCAUGUGGUCUUUGAUGCUCGACACAGACAGUUAGCAGUGGGCAGGGACAAAUGUGAAGCUCUGUCUCCAUGGCACCUACGUCGAGAGGCAUCCAGCAACUCAGGGGAAACCAUCAAGGAGUGGGGAUAUCAGAAUGUAAUGAGAACCUCAGA